CUGUACAACAGUUUUUCAGUGUACCCUUAACUCUGAAACCUGUCCUUUGACAUGCAGACUGUACUGGAGUUAUAGAACUGAGGUGCAAGCUUUCAGUUAACCCUAGGUGUAUUCCGUCAGUGUUGAGACUGUUCUCAGGGGAGGAUAUAGUCACAUCGUGGACCAUCACUCCUUGACAGUUGUCAAACUUAAGAUGGCACUGUGAGCUGUUGACAAUAGUGAUGCCAGCUACUAAGACGUUGAAACUACCAUAAAACCUCAAUGACUGCAUCAGGUUUAAUCUGG
Panicum virgatum (switchgrass) is the source of this 285-nucleotide long non-coding RNA. RefSeq lists it as uncharacterized. The record is from RefSeq and is a predicted model, not a curated record. The transcript has 3 exons. NCBI's taxonomy places the organism in Eukaryota, Viridiplantae, Streptophyta, Magnoliopsida, Poales, Poaceae.